GGGUUUGUAGUGUAGUGGUAUCGCGCUUCAUUUGGGCGUUGAAGAGGUCCCGCGUUCGAUCCGCGGCUGACCCC
This 74-nucleotide transfer RNA is filed under the name Cryptococcus deneoformans B-3501A. Its description in RNAcentral is "tRNA-Pro". It matches the Rfam family "tRNA". From Rfam's summary of the family: Transfer RNA (tRNA) molecules are approximately 80 nucleotides in length. Their secondary structure includes four short double-helical elements and three loops (D, anti-codon, and T loops). Lineage: Eukaryota; Fungi; Basidiomycota; Tremellomycetes; Tremellales; Cryptococcaceae. The record is from RNAcentral.